GGCCACAUGGCCUAAUGGAUAAGGUGCCUGAUUCUGGCCCAGAAGAUUGAGGGUUCGAGUCCCUUUGUGGUCA
This is a non-coding RNA of Trichechus manatus latirostris (Florida manatee), 73 nucleotides long. NCBI's taxonomy places the organism in Eukaryota, Metazoa, Chordata, Mammalia, Sirenia, Trichechidae. The record is from the annotation of a RefSeq genome assembly.